This 609-nucleotide ribosomal RNA is filed under the name Pseudo-nitzschia calliantha. Its description in RNAcentral is "eukaryotic LSU rRNA". It matches the Rfam family "Eukaryotic large subunit ribosomal RNA", at positions 1 to 681 of the family's 3401-position model. Lineage: Eukaryota; Bacillariophyta; Bacillariophyceae; Bacillariales; Bacillariaceae. The record is from RNAcentral.
CCGGAUCUCAGAUCAAGUAAGAUUACCCGCCGAAUUUAAGCAUAUAAUUAAGCGGAGGAAAAGAAACUAACUAGGAUUCCCUCAGUAACGGCGAGUGAAGCGGGAUGAGCUCAGGAUGUAAAUCUGCGCUAUUAAAGCGCCGAAUUGUGGUCUGUAGACUUUGGUGUUAUCUGCCGGGCCAAGUUCCUUGGAAAAGGACAGCUGAGAGGGUGAGACUCCCGUCCGCCUGGUAGAGUGAGCCUUUGUCAAAGAGUCGAGUUGUUUGGGAUUGCAGCUCUAAUUUGGUGGUAAAUUCCAUCUAAAGCUAAAUAUUGGUGGGAGACCGAUAGCGUACAAGUACCGUGAGGGAAAGAUGCAAAGAACUUUGAAAAGAGAGUUAAAGAGUACCUGAAAUUGCUGAAACGGAAGCGAAGGAAACCAGUGUUUGUUUGUUCAUAUUUCCCUGACCACUUGUGGUUUGGGCGCUGUGGGCUUGCGUCGGUUUGCUUUGGUUAAUCCCUUUGGAAGAGCGCAGUCAGAGUUGAUGUCUGUUGCUAGCACUGGGUUUGACUUGAGUAGACGAAAUGGUUUUCUUUACCCGUCUUGACACGCAGCCCCCGAGCGGGGGAU